UACAGAGGGUGCGAGCGUUAAUCGGAAUUACUGGGCGUAAAGCGCGCGUAGGCGGCUUUGCAAGUCGGGUGUGAAAUCCCCAGGCUUAACCUGGGAACUGCAUUCGAGACUGCAUUGCUAGAGUAUGGGAGAGGGAAGUGGAAUUUACGGUGUAGCAGUGAAAUGCGUAGAGAUCGUAAGGAAGACCAGUGGCGAAGGCGGCUACCUGGCCCAAUACUGACACUCAGGUGCGACAGCGUGGGGAGCAAACAGG
RNAcentral lists this ribosomal RNA (253 nucleotides) under uncultured bacterium. RNAcentral's name for it is "partial 16S ribosomal RNA". It matches the Rfam family "Bacterial small subunit ribosomal RNA", at positions 524 to 776 of the family's 1533-position model. The record is from RNAcentral.